AACGAACGCUGGCGGCAUGCCUAACACAUGCAAGUCGAACGAGACCUUCGGGUCUAGUGGCGCACGGGUGCGUAACGCGUGGGAACCUGCCCUUAGGUUCGGAAUAACUCCCCGAAAGGGGUGCUAAUACCGGAUAAUGUCUUCGGACCAAAGAUUUAUCGCCUUUGGAUGGGCCCGCGUUGGAUUAGCUAGUUGGUAGGGUAAAAGCCUACCAAGGCGACGAUCCAUAGCUGGUCUGAGAGGAUGAUCAGCCACACUGGGACUGAGACACGGCCCAGACCCCUAGAGGAAGGGCGCAGGGGGGAUUAUGGGACAGGGGGGGAAAGCCGAAUCCAGCAGGGCCGGGGAGGUGAUGAGGGCCUUAGGGUUUAAAGGCUCUUUUACCCGGGAUGAUAAUAACGUACCCGGGAAAAAAAGCCCGGGUUAACCCGGG
This 433-nucleotide ribosomal RNA is filed under the name uncultured bacterium. RNAcentral describes it as "partial 16S ribosomal RNA". It matches the Rfam family "Bacterial small subunit ribosomal RNA", at positions 29 to 506 of the family's 1533-position model. The record is from RNAcentral.